RNAcentral lists this ribosomal RNA (250 nucleotides) under uncultured bacterium. RNAcentral describes it as "partial 16S ribosomal RNA". It matches the Rfam family "Bacterial small subunit ribosomal RNA", at positions 524 to 773 of the family's 1533-position model. The record is from RNAcentral.
UACAGGGGGUGCAAACGUUACUCGGAAUCAUUGGGCGUAAAGAGCGCGUAGGCGGUUUGAUAAGUCAAGUGUGAAAUCCCCAGGCUCAAUCUGGGAAGUGCAUUUGAUACUGUCAGGCUAGAGUAUAGGAGGGGAGAACGGAAUUCCUGGUGUAGAGGUGAAAUUCAUAGAUAUCAGGAGGAACAACAGUGGCGAAGGCGGUUCUCUGGACUAUUACUGACGCUGAGGCGCGAAAGCGUGGGGAGCAAAC